AUUCUUUAAGUAUAACUAGUACAACUGACUUCCAAUCAGUUAGCUUCGGUAAUAUCCGAAAAAGAAUA
This 68-nucleotide transfer RNA is filed under the name Capreolus capreolus (Western roe deer). RNAcentral's name for it is "tRNA-Gly". It matches the Rfam family "tRNA". Rfam says of the family: Transfer RNA (tRNA) molecules are approximately 80 nucleotides in length. Lineage: Eukaryota; Metazoa; Chordata; Mammalia; Artiodactyla; Cervidae. The record is from RNAcentral.